UACAAUUAUAGAAAUGAACUUCGUUAACCAAUUUCUGCUUAGCUUUGUUUUCUUUUUCUAAAUAUUCUUGAUUUUAAAACAAAUACUUAAUUUUUGACGCAGUGUUCAUGAUAAUUCAUUAUUAUGCAAAUCUAAUAAACUUCCAAUUUGAAUAUUUUUUUGGAAAUCAAAUUUUUUUGUUAUAUAAUUUUUAAUUAGAAAUAGAAAUACAUUUUUUCAUUAAAAACAAUUGUUAUGAUGGAAUCAAAUCUAGCCGCAGUUUCAAGUUUAAUUGCAACUCUGCACCCCCUGUCAACUUUGACCGACAACAUUUUGACCGAAUUGGCGCUUCUGUUUGUGGUUUUGAUUUCAAAUUUAAUACUCAUCCACAAAUUACUUAUCCCUAAGGACUGCAAAAUAUACCGCAAAACGCUCUUUCGGGGAGUGUCUUCAAUGAUAACAGUUACUUCCUCAUUUUCGCUACUUUCUCUUUUUUUCUCUCUUAACGAGUCAAAAUUUCAAAACCAAAAUCUUAAUAAUUUUAUAAAAAUUUCAACAAACGGAGCUUUAUUGAGUUUCUACGUUACAUUGCCUUGCAUGUUUUACCAUAUGCAGUUUCAAGUUAAAAACGCGAUUUUGAACUCGUUGCCGAGUUUGACUUCGCCGCGACAACUUUCGGACAAUUCAUCAUUCGGACAAUUAGCGAGGCUUAAGAUUUAUUGGCCUCACAGACCAUUGCAUAUUCACUUGAUGCUUUUGUCGGGGGUAAUUUAUUCGAUCUUUAAUUUCUACAAAAUGGACAAAACUGGGCUAAGAGCGGAUAUAUCAAGUCAGGUAAACACGACAUCAUCAGUUCAAGGAUAUCCGAUCAUACUAGCUGCACUCAACUGCAUGUUUCAUCUCAUACCCGUAGUCUCAAACUUCAAACUUGUUCAAACACACCUUCACUCCUACAAACAAACCGAAGUGAACAACUAUUACGUCAUCAUCAAAGCACACCAAUUUUCAUCUGUAGUUUACAUUUGUGUAAUUUCACUCAUAAUACCACACACACUUUCGUUGAUUAAUGAAAUAGUUUUACCAGAACUGGUUAGUACUCCGAUUAGUUUUGUAAAUAAUGUCAACUCAGUGUUACUCAUUUGUUCUUUUUUGGUUCUGCCGAUUGCUUAUGCUAUUAUGUACAACAGAUCAUAAGUUUAACUUCAUUUCAACUCGUAAUAAAUUCAUUUUUAAAAU
Symsagittifera roscoffensis is the source of this 1215-nucleotide long non-coding RNA. RefSeq lists it as uncharacterized. The transcript is spliced from 3 exons. NCBI's taxonomy places the organism in Eukaryota, Metazoa, Xenacoelomorpha, Acoela, Convolutidae. The record is from RefSeq and is a predicted model, not a curated record.